CAUGUCCUUUUGAUUAUAAUUUAAGGUCUAAUCUGCUCAAUGAGUAAUUAAAUUGCCGCGGUAUUUUGACCGUGCAAAGGUAGCGUAAUAAUUAGUUUUUUUAUUGAAAGCUGGUAUGAAUGAUUGGACGAGAAAGCAGCUGUCUCUAUUUAAAUUUUUAUUGAAUUUAACUUUUAAGUAAAAAGGCUUAAAUUUGUUUUGAAGACGAGAAGACCCUAUAGAGUUUAAUAUAAUUUAAGAUAGGAACUGUUUGGAAUCUUCAUUUUUUAUUUUGAAUUUUGUUUAGUUGGGGUGACUUGAAGAUUAAAUAAACUCUUCUUUUUAAUAUCAUUGAUUUGUGAAUAGAUGAUCUAAUUUUUUAAAAUUUAGUUAAAAUUACCUUAGGGAUAACAGCGUAAUUUCUUUUUAUAGUUCUUAUUGAAAGAGAAGUUUGCGACCUCGAUGUUGGAUUAAAAUUUAUUUUUGGUGCAGAAGCUGAAUAAUUAGGUCUGUUCGACCUUUGAAAUUUUACAUGAUCUGAGU
This 522-nucleotide ribosomal RNA is filed under the name Senodonia sp. UPOL RK1305. RNAcentral describes it as "partial large subunit ribosomal RNA". It matches the Rfam family "Archaeal large subunit ribosomal RNA", at positions 1954 to 2679 of the family's 2987-position model. Lineage: Eukaryota; Metazoa; Arthropoda; Insecta; Coleoptera; Elateridae. The record is from RNAcentral.